Molecule: ribosomal RNA, 391 nt
Filed under: uncultured bacterium
Lineage: Bacteria
Description: bacterial SSU rRNA
Rfam family: Bacterial small subunit ribosomal RNA
Source: RNAcentral
AUUGAACGCUGGCGGCAUGCCUUACACAUGCAAGUCGAACGGCAGCACGGGAGCAAUCCUGGUGGCGAGUGGCGAACGGGUGAGUAAUAUAUCGGAACGUGCCCAGUCGUGGGGAUAACGUAGCGAAAGCUACGCUAAUACCGCAUACGAUCUAUGGAUGAAAGCGGGGGGAUCGCAAGACCUCGCGCGAUUGGAGCGGCCGAUAUCAGAUUAGGUAGUUGGUGAGGUAAAGGCUCACCAAGCCGACGAUCUGUAGCUGGUCUGAGAGGACGACCAGCCACACUGGGACUGAGACACGGCCCAGACUCCUACGGGAGGCAGCAGUGGGGAAUUUUGGACAAUGGGCGCAAGCCUGAUCCAGCAAUGCCGCGUGCAGGAUGAAGGCCUUCGG